UAGGAAUAUUCGUCAAUGGGGGAAACCCUGAACGAGCAAUGCCGCGUGAAGGAAGACGGUCCUCUGGAUUGUAAACUUCUGUUGUUAGGGAAGAACGACCAUUAUAGGAAAUGAUAAUGGAGUGACGGUACCUUCAAGAAAGCUCCGGCUAACUAC
This 156-nucleotide ribosomal RNA is filed under the name uncultured bacterium. RNAcentral describes it as "partial 16S ribosomal RNA". It matches the Rfam family "Bacterial small subunit ribosomal RNA", at positions 356 to 504 of the family's 1533-position model. The record is from RNAcentral.